ACAAACUACAAUUUGGAGCACAUGGACGAGGACAAGUUCGCGUAUGUCAAUCGGCUUUUCUCCGAACGCUACAAGCAGUGGAAGAGUGACCUGCACCAAUGGUUCCAGGAGUUUGAUGAUCCGCAGGUCGCUCUUGAGGAGGGAUAUUCGAAGGAGUUGGAGGACCGACAAGAUAGUUGGGUUUGGCUUUGCGGUCAUUUUAAGGACCCGACAUAUGUGAAGAAGGUGAAGGCGAACAAGAUCAAUUGAAAGAAGAAGACUCUUCUCCACCAUUCGCGUUCAAGGCCUUUCUCCUAUAGGAUGGAGGCCCUACAUAAGAGGGUUCAAAUUUCCGGAGAUCGAUGUCUUUGCUGACGUUUAUGUUCGGCCUGAGAAUAAGUUGACCUAGUCCCUUCAUGCAACUAUGGUGGAGAAGCGAUAGGUGGUGCUUCAGGAGUCCACCUCCCACCUUCCCUCGGACACGCCAAUCGAGUCUGUGGAUUCCCCCUGAGGAUACAGGGUUUCACAUCGUCACAGAGACGUUGGACCAGACUUUAGGUCAGAGGCUAGGGACAUAUUGUCGGGGGAUGGGAAAUUCCAGGCGUCGGGAGACUGGAGCCUCGUCAUCCUCGUAGUCAAAGAUUACGGUUUUGACGCAGGAAGUCGCUGGGCUGAGGAGUGAGCUGGCAUCGUACAAGUCUCAAAUGUCAAUGCUUGUACAAGCCCUUAGUUCCUCUGGAAUACAUCUCUCCGGUUUUUCUACACCAUCGCCCUCACAACCCUUCCACACCGAGCAAGCACCGCAAUCAGGCCCGUUGACCUCUGGCCCCGUCCCCAACCAGUAGCAAGAUUACCAAGCACCUCCGAAUGACAUGCCUAUAGAUUUUGCCUCUUUAUUUCGUAGUUUUGUUCCCCUUUUUUUUAAAAAAACUUUA
Non-coding RNA from Malus domestica (apple), 914 nucleotides. The record is from RefSeq and is a predicted model, not a curated record. Lineage: Eukaryota; Viridiplantae; Streptophyta; Magnoliopsida; Rosales; Rosaceae.